This is a long non-coding RNA of Pan troglodytes (chimpanzee), 326 nucleotides long. RefSeq lists it as uncharacterized. The record is from RefSeq and is a predicted model, not a curated record. The transcript is spliced from 2 exons. NCBI's taxonomy places the organism in Eukaryota, Metazoa, Chordata, Mammalia, Primates, Hominidae.
GAAGACCAGCUUUGAAAAAGACCUGUGAAUGGAAAGAGUUGCAGAUCACAAGCUUUAAUAAAGUUCAAAGGGACAGGAAUAGCAUCAGAAUUAAAAUAAAAAGCAGUGAAUAAUAUAGUUGCCGCAAAAUAUGGUUUCGGAAAUGCAAAACCAACCUUCUCGAUGAGCUCGAUGCAGGCAGCCAGGUCCAUCCCGAAGUCGAUGAACGUCCACUCGAUGCCUUCCUUCUUGUACUCCUCCUGCUCCAGCACGAACAUGUGGUGGUUGAAAAACUGUUGCAGUUUCUCAUUGGUGAAGUUGAUGCACAGCUGCUCCAGGCUGUUGAA